GCAACGCAGAGCUGGUCCCCGGGAGGGGCGUAGCUCUGGUUGCAACGCUGUAGCGGCUUCUCAGGCUGAAUGACGCCAAGUACCGGCCCGGAGGGGAGCGAUCCGGCUUUGUGGGCCCUUUGACCGCCUUGGUGGUCCAGGGACUUCCAUUCCCCCUAAUGCUGAAAAAAGAAGUGGAAUAAAAAUCUAAAUGAUGAAGACAAAGACCUGAGAGGACAAUGUUCAAGGGAUAUCCUUCCAGAGAGCAGAAUUAAGGUUGAAUCGAGGGGAAUAUUUAUUAUGAUUAUUGUGUCCCUUCUUCACUGUUGUUUAUUAUAUGAGAGUGGAGAGGCCACUUCUAGACUAGGAAGAACCACUUCUAGACUAGGAAGAGUACCCAACCACACCUGGAGACUCUGGAGAUUCAACUGAAUGCAAUGACUGGAUAGGAGCCUACUUGCAUCUAUAGAAUUCUCUCGAAAAAAGAACUUUACCACUCCCUCUCAAUAAAUGGAGUCUUGUUAAUAAUAGUCAUCAUCAUCCUUUAUCAUCAAUGUUGGUUCAUGAAUUAUCUAUCCCCUCAUCUAUAGCUUCACAGAGAUCUCUGCCAAGUUUGAGCCCUAUACAACUCUUGAACCCCUUCCUAGCCAAGAUAACAUUCAGUUGUUAGGGCAUAAAGGUUGUACCCUGAGGACCCACAUUUGAACCUGAUGGAAAGGCCUGUGCAUCACAUGAAGCUGUGAUUCAUUGACUUCACAACCCUAUUCCUGACAAGUACACUAGACCUGUGAUAGGAAUAAUUUUUAAUUGGUUUCAGUGAAUAUGUUUCUUAAAGGUGUAAGUUUUCAAAUUUCAUAUUUGUUAGUUAUCUUUAGGAAUUAAAGGGGCCAAGUCAGUAUUUGAAAAAUGGGAAUUGUAACUUGGUCUCUUUUCCUUUAAAUUUAUCCUGAGCUACCCUGUUAAAUGAAUUUGUGCUGCCAAUUUUUUAAUGUUCUAUUCUCAUAGCAACAGGCUGUGAUGUCAGAGGGUUAUUUAUCACAAAACUGAUUUAAAAAAUGCUAGGCUAUGAAGCAGAAAGCUCCGAUUUAAUUGCAUGUUAUUCAAUAAUCAUCCUAUCUAAUAAAGAGGGAAUAUGCAAAUUGACCCUCACACCAUCGCAAAUAUGAUGGCACCCACAGCCAAUAAGGAAGGAAUAUGCUAAUUGACUGCCCUGCCCUCAAAGAUGGCGACGCCCAGUCCCCUCAGCCCUGCCAUGCACCUGCCUCCAGAGUCCCCCAGUCUCCUCAGGCCCCCAGCUGCCCCGGACCGGCCCGAGGCACAGGCAAGCCUCAGAUGGCGGCUGCCCAGCCACCCAGGGCCACCUGAGGCUCAGGUAACCAGAGCCGGCCGAGGCUUGUGCUGCCGGCAGUGGCAGCAGCAGAGGUGUGAUGGGACGUCGCCUUUCCCUGAUCGCCGGGUUGACUCCCGCUCUUGAGGACUCCCGGACUGUGAGAGGGGGCAGGCCGGGCUGAGGGACCCCCCCCCUCCAGUACAUGAAUUUUCAUGCAACGGGCCUCUAGUGUUAUGCAAAUAAAAAUGGAAACAGAUCAAAAGUAAAAGACUCAAAAUAACAAGUUUAUGUGAACAUUUUUAUUAAUAGUUGCCAUAGUAUAAAAAAAGCUUUCCCUUCAGCAUUUUUUAU
Molecule: long non-coding RNA, 1660 nt
Organism: Eptesicus fuscus (big brown bat)
Lineage: Eukaryota; Metazoa; Chordata; Mammalia; Chiroptera; Vespertilionidae
Exons: 6
Source: RefSeq, a predicted model, not a curated record